Molecule: unclassified non-coding RNA, 240 nt
Filed under: soil metagenome
Description: partial contains 5.8S ribosomal RNA, internal transcribed spacer 2, and large subunit ribosomal RNA
Source: RNAcentral
AAGACUAUAGACCUGCGGAGUACCUGCGGAAGGAUCAUUACAUGGCGGAGGAGGUGGGCACCUAGUAAAAACAAAACCCUAGGUGUGUUGCCUACCACGCUUUCUACCCUUGUCUAUUUGCACCUUUUGUCGUUCCCUCGGUGGGUCUUGAACCUGCCGGCGGCAACUUUCAAAAACCUUUUGUAGUUAGUAUCUAAUUCUUCUGAUCAAAUAUUCAAUCGUUACAACUUUUAGCAAUGG